AGAGUUUGAUCCUGGCUCAGGAUGAACGCUGGCGGCGUGCCUAACACAUGCAAGUCGAACGGGGAUUAUUGAUGAAGCUUGCGAUUUGAUAAUCCAAGUGGCGGAUGGGUGAGUAACGCGUGGAUAAUCUGCCCAUAAGAGGGGGACAACAGCUGGAAACGGCUGCUAAUACCGCAUAAGCUGGCAGGGGCGAGAGCCCGAGUCAGAAAAGGUGGCAGCAAUGCUAUCGCUUAUGGAUGAGUCCGCGUCUGAUUAGCUAGUUGGUGAGGCAAGAGCUUACCAAGGCGACGAUCAGUAGCCGGCCUGAGAGGGUGAACGGCCACAUUGGGACUGAGAGACGGCCCAAACUCCUACGGGAGGCAGCAGUGGGGAAUAUUGCGCAAUGGGGGAAACCCUGACGCAGCGACGCCGCGUGAGCGAAGAAGGCUUUAGGGUCGUAAAGCUCUGUUAUAAGGGACGAACGGCAGGUGUGAGAAAAUUGCACCGGCGUGACGGUACCUUAAGAGGAAGCCCCGGCUAACUACGUGCCAGCAGCCGCGGUAAGACGUAGGGGGCGAGCGUUGUCCGGAAUUACUGGGCGUAAAAGAGCACGUAGGCGGGAAUCUAAGUCGGAUGUGAAAGACCGGGGCUCAACUCCGGGAUUGCAUCGGAAACUGGAUUUCUUGAGGGCAGGAGAGGAAAGCAGAAUUCCUGGUGUAGCGGUGAAAUGCGUAGAAAUCAGGAGGAAUACCGGUGGCGAAGGCGGCUUUCUGGACUGACCCUGACGUUGAGGUGCGAAAGCGUGGGUAGCAAACAGGAUUAGAUACCCUGGUAGUCCACGCCGUAAACGAUGGAUACUAGGUGUAGGAGGUAUCGACCCCUUCUGUGCCGGAGCAAACGCAAUAAGUAUCCCGCCUGGGGAGUACGAUCGCAAGGUUGAAACUCAAAGGAAUUGACGGGGGCCCGCACAAGCGGUGGAGCAUGUGGUUUAAUUCGAUACAACGCGAAGAACCUUACCAGGUCUUGACAUCCAAAGAAUACCGAUGAAAAUCGGUAGUGCCUUCGGGAGCUUUGAGACAGGUGGUGCAUGGUUGUCGUCAGCUCGUGUCGUGAGAUGUUGGGUUAAGUCCCGCAACGAGCGCAACCCUUGCUAUUAGUUGCUAACAGAAGAUGAGCACUCUAAUGGGACUGCCGGUGACAAGCCGGAGGAAGGUGGGGAUGACGUCAAAUCAUCAUGCCCUUUAUGACCUGGGCAACACACGUGCUACAAUGGGCGGUACAGAGAGCAGCAAGACCGCGAGGUGGAGCGAAUCUCAAAAAGCCGUUCACAGUUCGGAUUGUAGUCUGCAACUCGACUACAUGAAGUCGGAAUCGCUAGUAAUCGCGAAUCAGCAUGUCGCGGUGAAUGCGUUCCCGGGCCUUGUACACACCGCCCGUCACACCACGAAAGUCGGCAACACCCGAAGCCGGCGAGCUAACUAGCAAUAGAGGCAGCCGUCGAAGGUGGGGUUGGUAAUUGGGGUGAAGUCGUAACAAGGUAACC
This 1522-nucleotide ribosomal RNA is filed under the name uncultured bacterium. RNAcentral describes it as "bacterial SSU rRNA". It matches the Rfam family "Bacterial small subunit ribosomal RNA". The record is from RNAcentral.